AGCAGCCGCGGUAAUUCCAGCUCCAAUAGCGUAUAUUAAAGUUGUUGCAGUUAAAAAGCUCGUAGUUGAAUUUCGGGGUCAUCAGGUUGGUCGUGCCUCUGGUAUGUACUGAUUUCGAUGGUCCCUCCUUCUUGAAGAGCCGUAAUGCCAUUAAUUUGGUGUUGCGGGGAAUCAGGACUGUUACUUUGAAAAAAUUAGAGUGUUUAAAGCAGGCAAUCGCUUGAAUACAUUAGCAUGGAAUAAUGAAAUAGGACGUUCGAUCCUAUUUUGUUGGUUUCUAGGAUUGACGUAAUGAUUAAUAGGGAUAGUUGGGGGCAUUAGUAUUCAAUUGUCAGAGGUGAAAUUCUUGGAUUUAUUGAAGACUAACUACUGCGAAAGCAUUUGCCAAGGAUGUUUUCAUUAAUCAAGAACGAAAGUUAGGGGAUCGAAGACGAUCAGAUACCGUCGUAGUCUUAACCAUAAACUAUGCCGACUAGGGAUCGGAUGAUGUUAAUUUUUUAAUGACUCA
RNAcentral lists this ribosomal RNA (508 nucleotides) under uncultured Glomus. RNAcentral's name for it is "SSU rRNA". It matches the Rfam family "Eukaryotic small subunit ribosomal RNA", at positions 569 to 1078 of the family's 1831-position model. The record is from RNAcentral. Lineage: Eukaryota; Fungi; Glomeromycota; Glomeromycetes; Glomerales; Glomeraceae.